Molecule: ribosomal RNA, 274 nt
Filed under: uncultured bacterium
Lineage: Bacteria
Description: partial 16S ribosomal RNA
Rfam family: Archaeal small subunit ribosomal RNA
Source: RNAcentral
AAACCAGCACCUCAAGUGGUCAGGAUGAUUAUUGGGCCUAAAGCAUCCGUAGCCGGCUCUGUAAGUUUUCGGUUAAAUCUGUACGCUUAACGUACAGGCUGCUGGGAAUACUGCAGAGCUAGGGAGUGGGAGAGGUAGACGGUACUCGGGAGGAAGUGGUAAAAUGCUUUGAUCUCUCGAUGACCACCUGUGGCGAAGGCGGUCUACCAGAACACGACCGACGGUGAGGGAUGAAAGCUGGGGGAGCAAACCGGAUUAGAAACCCCAGUAGUCC